Molecule: long non-coding RNA, 968 nt
Organism: Felis catus (domestic cat)
Lineage: Eukaryota; Metazoa; Chordata; Mammalia; Carnivora; Felidae
Exons: 4
Source: RefSeq, a predicted model, not a curated record
UUCUACAUGGCAUCUCUUCUUUGGAGCUUGCUAUAAACUAUACAGUGUCUUUCCCACCACAGAUAGUUUUAGGACUAUAGGAUUGGCCAGGCUGAACGGAUGAGGGGCAGAACUGUUUACAUCAUAGCCUAGAGCCUGCUGCAGUUUCUCUUCAUUAAAAGGAAUGUAGCAGUAUUCUCAAAUAUGGUAUGUAAAGCCGGGUUUUCUUCACAUACUUCAAUCAAGGAACAUAUGAUAACAGACUGACUUCUGAUGACACCCAGUGUUAACAGCUCCACUAAAGGUCACUGGGCUAAGUGGUCCCUUGGAUGAUCUCUUCUGCUCCCGUACGCCCGCUCCUGAAUCAAACUUCUGUUGAGGCUCUAAGGAUUCUCUGCUCCUUAUGCUAAGUUGGAAAAGAAGACGGGAGAUUUUUUUGGAGAAGAGAAACAAAGCAAAGUCGACUUGAAACUGGCUGAAGGCCAAUAGGGAUAGCUUUACAGUUUUUGAUCUACCAGUAGCAAAAGAAGGGUGGCAUUUUCCCACCAUCCCCAACUGUAAACAUAUAAAGGACAGUAUCUUUGUGUGCAUCUGAGUUAGGAUGUAAAAAAUUGAGUUCUGCCAUAUUUCCAUGGCAUUUGAUUCCCUCUACCUCCUUUUACUAUGUACUGUUCUCUGUAUUAGUUCCAAAUAUAUCCUUCACUUCAAAUGGGAAAGGAUUUCUAUUUCACAACUGUGAAUUACUGAAACUGGAAAGAUGAAUCCAUAAAAAUAGGAACACUGAACUUGAAUCAGAUUCAUCAUGAAAUUGGAAGUUGUCCCCAUUUCAAAAAGAACCUCAGCAUCUUUCUUGUGACUGACAUGCCUAAUUCAUAGCCAUAUUAUUAUUUCCAUUGUCUCUGCUAAAAUUAAAAAAUUUUUUCUUGGGGCACAUGGGUGGCUCAGUCAGUUGAGUAUUCGACUUCUGCCCGGUUCACAAGUUCAAGCCC